RNAcentral lists this ribosomal RNA (401 nucleotides) under Pholetesor salicifoliellae. RNAcentral describes it as "partial 28S ribosomal RNA". It matches the Rfam family "Eukaryotic large subunit ribosomal RNA", at positions 323 to 617 of the family's 3401-position model. Lineage: Eukaryota; Metazoa; Arthropoda; Insecta; Hymenoptera; Braconidae. The record is from RNAcentral.
UUGUUACGAGANCGAUAGCGAACAAGUNCCGUGAGGGAAANNUNNNNAGAACUUUGAAGAGAGAGUUCAAGAGUACGUGAAACCGUUCAGGGGUAAACCUGUGAAACCCAAAAGAUCGAAUGAGGAGAUUCNUCGUCAGCGUAUUCAGUAUUAAUGCAGGCUAUGAUGUGAUAAUAGAAUCCUUGUGGUCACNAAAUUAUACUUGUUUGUAUUAUUUCUGCUGGGNAUGUCGGCGUGCACUUCUCCUCUAGUAGAACGUCGCAACCCGUUGGAUGUUUAUCUAUGGCCUGAAUGGUAGCCUUUAAUAUUUAUUAUAUUGAAGACCUUUNGGNGUCCUGAUAAACUGUCNGACGGUAUACAAAUGGUAUUGAGCCGCNAUUANUAUUUGCGUUANACUUAUC